Oncorhynchus masou masou (cherry salmon) is the source of this 76-nucleotide non-coding RNA. The record is from the annotation of a RefSeq genome assembly. Lineage: Eukaryota; Metazoa; Chordata; Actinopteri; Salmoniformes; Salmonidae.
GGUCCCGUGUGGCGUAGUUGGUAUCGCAUGGUGCUCACAAUGCCAGGGUUGUGGGUUCAAUUCCCAUGUGGGACCA